CCUACGGGUGGCAGCAGUGAGGAAUAUUGGUCAAUGGACGAGAGUCUGAACCAGCCAAGUAGCGUGAAGGAUGACUGCCCUAUGGGUUGUAAACUUCUUUUAUGUGGGAAUAAAAUGUUCCACGUGUGGGAUUUUGUAUGUACCAUAUGAAUAAGGAUCGGCUAACUUCGUGCCAGCAGCCGCGGUAAUGCGGAGGAUCCGAGCGUUAUCCGGAUUUAUUGGGUUUAAAGGGAACGUAGGUGGAUUGUUAAGUCAGUUGUGAAAGUUUGCGGCUCAACCGUAAAAUUGCAGUUGAAACUGGCAGUCUUGAGUACAGUAGAGGUGGGCGGAAUUCGUGGUGUAGCGGUGAAAUGCUUAGAUAUCACGAAGAAUUCCGAUUGCGAAGGCAGUUCACUGGACUGCAACUGACACUGAGGCUCGAAAGUGUGGGUAUCAAACAGGAUUAGAUACCCCGGUAGUC
RNAcentral lists this ribosomal RNA (460 nucleotides) under uncultured bacterium. RNAcentral describes it as "partial 16S ribosomal RNA". It matches the Rfam family "Bacterial small subunit ribosomal RNA", at positions 338 to 795 of the family's 1533-position model. The record is from RNAcentral.